UGCCAGCAGCCGCGGUAAUACGGAGGAUGCAAGCGUUAUCCGGAAUCACUGGGUUUAAAGGGUGCGUAGGCGGAUUAACAAGUCAGAGGUGAAAGCUCUCAGCUUAACUGAGGAACUGCCUUUGAAACUGUUAGUCUUGAAAUUAGAUGAGGUUGGCGGAAUGAGUCAUGUAGCGGUGAAAUGCAUAGAUAUGACUUAGAACACCGAUUGCGAAGGCAGCUGACUGGUCUACAUUUGACGCUGAGGCACGAAAGCGUGGGGAGCGAACAGGAUUAGAUA
This 279-nucleotide ribosomal RNA is filed under the name uncultured bacterium. RNAcentral describes it as "partial 16S ribosomal RNA". It matches the Rfam family "Bacterial small subunit ribosomal RNA", at positions 506 to 784 of the family's 1533-position model. The record is from RNAcentral.